RNAcentral lists this non-coding RNA (960 nucleotides) under Anomalurus sp. GP-2005. RNAcentral's name for it is "12S ribosomal RNA". It matches the Rfam family "Bacterial small subunit ribosomal RNA". The record is from RNAcentral. Lineage: Eukaryota; Metazoa; Chordata; Mammalia; Rodentia; Anomaluridae.
AUUAAAGAUUUGGUCCUGGUCUUUUUAUUGAUUACUAGCAGAACUACACAUGCAAGCAUCUACAUACCAGUGAGAAUGCCCUUCGACACUUAAAGACUUAAAGGAGUAGGUAUCAAGCACACUAAAAAGUAGCUCAAGACACCUUGCCUAGCCACACCCCCACGGGAUACAGCAGUGAUUAAAAUUUAGCAAUGAACGAAAGUUUGACUAAGUUAUGUUAUUUAGGGUUGGUAAAUAUCGUGCCAGCCACCGCGGUCAUACGAUAAACCCAAAUCAAUAAGCACUCGGCGUAAAGCGUGUCACACUUUAACAAUUACAAUAAGGCUAAGACUUAACUAAGCUGUAAAAAGCCAUAGCUACAACAAAACUAAGUGACGAAAGUAGCCUUACUACCCUAAUUCAGACACGAAAGCUAAGAACCAAACUGAGAUUGAGAUACCUCACUAUGCUUAGCCGUAAACCUAAUGAAUUCAAAAUAAAACAAAAUUCUUCGCCUGAGGACUACUAGCAACAGCCUAAAACUCAAAGGACUUGGCGGUGCUUUAUAUCCAUCUAGAGGAGCCUGUUCUAUAAUCGAUAAACCCCGAUAUACCUUACCAUCUAUUGCAACUCAGCCUAUAUACCGCCAUCUUCAGCAAACCUUAACAAAGGACAGAAGUAAGCACAAUAAUCUUAUCAUAAAAACGUUAGGUCAAGGUGUAGCCUAUGAGAUGGGAAGAAAUGGGCUACAUUUUCUAAACCAGAACAUAACCACGCUAAUUAACAUGAAACUUGUUAAUCAAAGGAGGAUUUAGUAGUAAAUUAAGAAUAGAGAGCUUAAUUGAAUAGAGCAAUGAAGCGCGUACACACCGCCCGUCACCCUCCUCAACCUAUCAAAUCAUGACUAUAAAUAAAUCAUGUAAAGAUACUAGAGGAGAUAAGUCGUAACAAGGUAAGAUACUGGAAAGUGUGCUUGGAAAA